This 403-nucleotide ribosomal RNA is filed under the name Verrucomicrobiota bacterium. RNAcentral's name for it is "Verrucomicrobia bacterium partial 16S ribosomal RNA". It matches the Rfam family "Bacterial small subunit ribosomal RNA", at positions 355 to 776 of the family's 1533-position model. The record is from RNAcentral. Lineage: Bacteria; Pseudomonadati; Verrucomicrobiota.
UGGGGAAUAUUGCACAAUGGGCGCAAGCCUGAUGCAGCAACGCCGCGUGAACGAUGAAGGUCUUCGGAACGUAAAGUUCUGUUGCAGGGGAAGAUAAUGACGGUACCCUGUGAGGAAGCCCCGGCUAACUACGUGCCAGCAGCCGCGGUAAUACGUAGGGGGCUAGCGUUAUCCGGAUUUACUGGGCGUAAAGGGUGCGUAGGUGGUCUUUCAAGUCGGUGGUUAAAGGCUACGGCUCAACCGUAGUUAGCCUCCGAAACUGGAAGACUUGAGUGCAGGAGAGGAAAGUGGCAUUCCCAGUGUAGCGGUGAAAUGCGUAGAUAUUGGGAGGCACACCCGUAGCGAAGGCGGCUUUCUGGACUGCAACUGACACUGAGGCACGAAAGCGUGGGUAGCAAACAGG